Molecule: long non-coding RNA, 1021 nt
Organism: Grus americana (Whooping crane)
Lineage: Eukaryota; Metazoa; Chordata; Aves; Gruiformes; Gruidae
Exons: 3
Source: RefSeq, a predicted model, not a curated record
AGGUUGAUCUAUUACAUCUACGGCUGUUUUCCUGUAUUACUGCUACUUGUAAAUCUGUUGCAUGCUGAGGGCAGCUCUUGCCCGGCAUGCCUAAGAGAGGUUUAACUCAUUCACGUUCGUAUAUAUGCAUACAUCCCUGUAACUGUCCUGUGUUUGGCAGCUUCAUUGCUGCGGGGUAAGGAACUACAGCGACUGGACAACCACACAGUGGUUUAAUUCCACCGGUAACAACAGCGUGCCUCUGAGCUGCUGCAGGCAAGAUGUGAAGAACUGCACAGGGCGCCUGGAUCAGCCACAGGAACUCAAUACGCGGAGCUGUGCAGAGGAGCUGGAGUCUGGGCUGCAGAGCGUUAUCAGCUAUGCUAUGCUUGUAAUCCUGGGUUUUGCCAUUGUAAAGUUCUUCGGCAUGCUGAGUGUCUGCGUGCUUACCUGCAGGAGAGAAGACAGUGGAUAUCAGCCUCUUUACUCAGGGGUGUUUGCUUAAUAAAAUGCAAAGAUCACUUUUCUUUUGCUUCCUGAUGAUAAAAUAGACUUGUAAAGAUGACCGCUGAAGAACAAUGUAUCACCUUCUUGCUAAAUAUUUUAUUUGAUGUACGUGGAACAGAAAGAACGUUGUGUAUUGACUUGGGAAAGUUUCUUGCGGGUGAUGUGAAAUGGCAAUUUCAAUAUUCGGUGCCCUACAGUGAGGUACCUUGAUCUUGCAUGCCACAGCUUUCUGUAUGGUUAUCGUAGAUUUGGAUUUGUGACUUCAGACGGCACCAGGUGGCGUAAUGGACUCCAGAAACAAACUUACUUCUGCAGUUCUUUCCUCUACCCUUGAAACAUGCAGAAGAAACCUUAUUUUUAAUCACUAAACUGAUUGAGACCGCAGGAGGGGUUUCAGUUGUCUGCGCAAAUGCCGGGUCAUUCUAGGCAUGAUUAAACAGAAAAUGAAACUUUUGAACGCCAGGUUCAAAUAUUCUUCAUAAGCAUGGGGAGUUAGAGUAUGUUCUCUUUGUGUCUGAUGGUGUUUCUGGUUUUA